UGUACAAGUUGCUAAGGGUCGGAUUGUUUCACCCGUAUUAGGGAUCGUGAGCUGGGUUUAGACCGUCGUGAGCCAGGUUUGUUUUAUCCCUACUGGAUAUAGCAUCAUGAUAGUAGAUUGAUUUAGUACGAGAGGAACUGUUGAUUAUGGCCUCUGGUUAGCGAUUAUCGGAAACGGUAUGUCGCGCAGCUACGCCGUCUGGGAUAAUGGCUGAAAGCCUCUUAAGCCAGAAGCCCAUCUAGAAAGUGAUGCACGUGAUGUUGGACCGAUACGAAUAAUCAUACUCAAAAGGUCCGCUUCAUAGGUAACCCAAUGUAGAAGACAUUGUGUGAACGAAGGUACUGUAAGCAGUGGAGUGGCAUUACGUCCACGACCUGUUGAGGUUCAGCUUCGCUUCUAGGUUUCC
Non-coding RNA from Trichomonas vaginalis G3, 406 nucleotides. The record is from Rfam. NCBI's taxonomy places the organism in Eukaryota, Parabasalia, Trichomonadida, Trichomonadidae.